GUCCUUUAGAAUAGUAUUUAAGGUCUAGCCUGCCCAUUGAUUUAAUUUAACGGCCGCAGUAAUUUGACUGUGCAAAGGUAGCAUAAUCAUUAGUUUUUUAAUUAAAAGCUUGUAUGAAUGGUUUGACGAGAUAAAAACUGUCUCUAAAUUAUAUAUAGAAUUUAAUUUUUAAGUUAAAAAGCUUAAAUUUAAAUAAAAGACGAGAAGACCCUAUAGAUCUUUAUAUAAUUAUUUUUAUUUUUAUUAAAGAUUAUUUUAUUUAAUAAUUUUAAUUAUAUUUUAUUGGGGUAAUAAAAAGAUUUAAUUAAUUCUUUUAUAUUUAACAUAAAUUAAUGAUUUAAUGAUCCAUUUUUAAUGAUUAAAAGAUUAAGUUACCUUAGGGAUAACAGCGUAAUUUUUUUGGAGAGUUCUUAUUGAUAAAAAAGUUUGCGACCUCGAUGUUGGAUUAAAAAUUAUUUUAGGUGCAGAAGUUUAAAAAUUUGGUCUGUUCGACCAUUAAAUUUUUACA
This 508-nucleotide ribosomal RNA is filed under the name Clemnius acaroides. RNAcentral's name for it is "Hygrotus acaroides partial 16S ribosomal RNA". The stretch from base 382 to 508 matches the Rfam family "Bacterial large subunit ribosomal RNA", at positions 2473 to 2600 of the family's 2925-position model. Lineage: Eukaryota; Metazoa; Arthropoda; Insecta; Coleoptera; Dytiscidae. The record is from RNAcentral.